CCUACGGGUGGCAGCAGUGGGGAAUAUUGGGCAAUGGAGGCAACUCUGACCCAGCAACGCCGCGUGAAUGAUGACUGCCCUACGGGUUGUAAACUUCUUUUAUAAAGGAAUAAAGUGAGGCACGUGUGCCUUUUUGUAUGUACUUUAUGAAUAAGGAUCGGCUAACUCCGUGCCAGCAGCCGCGGUAAUACGGAGGAUCCGAGCGUUAUCCGGAUUUAUUGGGUUUAAAGGGGGCGUAGAUGGGUUGUUAAGUCAGUUGUGAAAGUUUGCGGCUCAACCGUAAAAUUGCAAUUGAUACUGGCAGUCUUGAGUACAGUUAAGGUAGGCGGAAGUGGUGGUGUAGCGGUGAAAGGCUUAGAUAUCACGAAGAACCCCGAUUGCGAAGGCAGCUUACUAACUGCCACUGACAUUGAUGCUCGAAAGUGUGGGUAUCAAACAGGAUUAGAUACCCUUGUAGUC
RNAcentral lists this ribosomal RNA (459 nucleotides) under uncultured bacterium. RNAcentral describes it as "partial 16S ribosomal RNA". It matches the Rfam family "Bacterial small subunit ribosomal RNA", at positions 338 to 795 of the family's 1533-position model. The record is from RNAcentral.